GACGAACGCUGGCUGCGUGCUUAACACAUGCAAGUCGAACGCUGAAACCCUGGUGCUUGCACCGGGGUGGAUGAGUGGCGAACGGGUGAGUAACACGUGAGUAACCUGCCCCCGACUUCGGGAUAAGCCCGGGAAACUGGGUCUAAUACCGGAUAUGAGGAUCCCUCACAUGAGGGAUGCUGGAAAGUUUUUUCGGUUGGGGAUGGGCUCGCGGCCUAUCAGUUUGUUGGUGAGGGAAUGGCUCACCAAGACGACGACGGGUAGCCGGCCUGGGAGGGCGACCGGCCACACUGGGACUGAGACACGGCCCAGACUCCUACGGGAGGCAGCAGUGGGGAAUAUUGCACAAUGGGGGAAACCCUGAUGCAGCGACGCAGCGUGCGGGAUGACGGCCUUCGGGUUGUAAACCGCUUUCAGCAGGGAAGAAGCCCCUCGGGGUGACGGUACCUGCAGAAGAAGUACCGGCUAACUACGUGCCAGCCGCCGCCGUAA
Molecule: ribosomal RNA, 492 nt
Filed under: uncultured bacterium
Lineage: Bacteria
Description: partial 16S ribosomal RNA
Rfam family: Bacterial small subunit ribosomal RNA
Source: RNAcentral